GUGUAAGCUGUUGACAGUUUACGAGACCUAACCUCAAACUUUUUUUUAGAGUAAACUAUAAUAUUUUCUGUUAAUUUAAGUAUAUUUACUAUGUUGAAAGUUUCUUUAAAAUAUUUGCCGAAGAAAGAUAAGCCCAAUAACAGUAUAUAUUAAUUAAUAAUCUCAUAAGACUUUGUGUGUUUUAAAGUAUUGCAAAAAUUUGCAAGUUACAUUGUGAACCUCUACGUAAAACAUUUUGUUUAAAAGCGGUUUAAAGGACCAUAUGUUGAUGUACAUUUCUCUUAAAUUGGGUUUAUAGUGCUGUAUAAUUUGCCGGUUUUUCAAUGCGGCUUCACAAAGUUCGGAAAAUACUUCUUUUUAUGUUUCAUCAAAAAUGCUCUGAGAAAAAAUGUGCGGUUUUCACUAAAAUGUCCAGCGAAAAGUGAACAAUAUAUGGUCAGGAUGGUAGGGAGUGGUUAUGAUCCUAUCCCUCACUACCAUCUAAGUGGAGGAGGUCGAGAUUUUUGCCAUUGGAUCACACAUAUUAAAUUAUCACGAAUAUUAAUACUGGUCUCAGUUAUUUUAUUCAUCGUGCCACUAUUUGCGCACUACUAUUUAUCCAAGGUGGAAUCCGAUUCUUCAAACAUGGAUAUUCAUCACACCCGUUCAAAGCUGGAAGCUUUUGAGGAUUUCACAUCGAUGAAGGCUGUUGAUUUAAAAGCACGAAUUGAAGAAAUGUUGCACAUCAAAACGUCAGUCAGUAAUGAGCUGAGGGACUUGGAAGCGAAACGCCAGAAGCUUCAGACAGAAGUCAGUGGAUUUACGCAAAGGAUCGACGAAUUGAAACAAGAACUCUUGCAUCAACAGAUGGACUUGGAUAGACUGAAAAUCAGUGUGAUUCAGGCACAAGCUGCACAGAGGGAAGCUGUGGAGCGAAACACGCCAGAGUUAGCUCUCCCGAAAAGAAUUUUGAUCAACGAAGUGCCUGUGACAAUUGCGAGCACUGAUCCUCAUUCCUGUAGAAUGUACAAUUGUUUUGACCAUAGUCGAUGUGCAUUGACGAGUGGCUUUCCUAUCUAUCUUUAUGAUCCUGAUCAGUUCUCAGUUGUCAAUUCGAGAUGGGAUGUAGAUGGAUUUCUCAAGACAACGAUUAAGCAGACUCUAGGUUAUAAUCCUCACUUGACGUCGAAUCCCGCAGAGGCUUGUAUUUACAUACUUCUCGUUGGAGAAGCUCUCUCUGUUCAACAACCAAAUUCCCAAAAAUCCAGGAGUCCUAUCGAUUUAAAAAAACUACAUGCAUUACCCUACUGGGGAGGGGAUGGCAGAAAUCAUAUUUUACUGAACCUCGCUCGGAGGGAUUUAUCCGUAGAAGCUGGAGACAUUUUCAAUGGAUUAGACACAGGUCGGGCGAUGAUAGUGCAAUCGACGUUUCAUCGAAAUCAGUUUCGCGACGGUUUUGAUUUGAUCGUUCCACCCAUUUUGGGACCACCAGGUGGAGACGUGUGGCAAGAAUGUGCGCAAAUGUUACCAGCUAGAAGAAGGUAUUUAUUAUCCUUUCAAGGUGAAAUGAAAUCAUUGAAAAGCACUUCAACGACGCAUCAACUGGACGACGCUGAGGCAGAUUUGGAGAGACUGGCAGUAGACGAGAAUAACUUGGAUAGCUUUAUUAUUCAGCAUUUGAAAGACAAGAGCACUGGAAUCACCUAUGACAGAUUUUUCAUUCAGUUUGAGUGUAUCCCAGCAUCUGACGACGGAAGAGUGAUAGAGGCCCUAGAUUGGUCUCUCUGUGGCACGGAUUCGUCAAGGAGAUCAGUUUUAAAAGAAUCGACAUUCGCUUUAAUUUUAGCACCUAGUAAUACGACGUUCGUUACUACGUCAUCGAUACAGGCGAGGCUCCAUGAAGCACUGAGAUCUGGUGCCAUACCUGUUAUUUUGGGAGGAGAUCAAAUCUUUCUUAGUUAUAAGGAAGUCAUCUCUUGGCGGAGGGCAGCCAUAUUUUUACCCAAAGCUCGAGUAACGGAGAUGCACUUCUUGCUGCGUGCUAUACCGGACAAUGAUCUGCUGGCCAUGCGUAGACACGGAAGAUUGAUAUGGGAGCGUUAUCUAGGGACCGCUCAGGGCGCCGUUGACACGAUCGUCGCCUGUGUUCGGGAUCGACUUGGAAUUCCUCCUUUGCCAGCUCCACAAACCGCCAGUCCAAGUGUUUUCAACGAAAGUUUUGUGCCUUUAAAAUCGGAUUCCAUCAUCGCGGAAUCCGAAGCUGAGGAAAGUCUCGGACCUCUUGAACCUCCUUAUCCGUCGCCUGCGUUCAAAAGGAAUUACACAAUCAUGCUUACUCAAGGAUUCGAGAUGUGGAAUGACUGGGUGGAUCCAUUUUAUUUGUAUCCUCAACUCCCUUUUGAUACCGUCUUGCCUAGUGAUGCAAAAUUUUUAGGGUCUGAAGUAGGAUUUCGACCAGUCGGCAAAGGAGCCGGGGGUGCGGGUAAAGAAUUUAGCGAAUCUCUUGGAGGAAAUUAUCCUAGGGAACAAUUUACAAUAGUCAUGUUAACUUAUGAGAGAGAACAAGUUUUAAUUAGUUCUCUUGCUCGACUUUAUGGUUUACCUUAUCUGAAUAAGGUACUCGUAGUUUGGAAUAGUCCUAAACCACCAAUGGAAGACCUUCGGUGGCCUAAUAUUGGGGUUCCAAUACAUGUAAUAAAGGCGCCCAGAAAUAGUUUAAACAAUAGAUUCCUACCUUUUGAUGCAAUUGUGACUGAAGCUGUUCUUUCUAUUGAUGACGAUGCUCAUUUAAGACACGAUGAAAUUAUGUUUGCAUUUCGGGUUUGGAGAGAACAUCGUGACCGUGUAGUUGGUUUUCCUGGUCGUUUUCACGCAUGGGAUCAAAAUUAUAACAAUGCUUGGAACUACAAUUCUAAUUACUCUUGCGAGCUGUCAAUGGUUUUGACAGGGGCUGCUUUUAUACACAAGCAUUAUACAUAUUUGUAUACACACUGGCUUCCUCAAGCAAUAAGGGAUAAAGUGGAUGAAUAUAUGAAUUGUGAAGAUAUUGCAAUGAACUUUUUGAUAUCACAUAUUACGAGAAAACCCCCUGUUAAGGUCACGUCGCGUUGGACUUUUAGAUGUCCGGGAUGUCCAGUUUCCCUUUCAGAAGAUGAUACACAUUUCCAGGAGAGGCACAAGUGUAUCAACUUCUUCUCGCAGGUGUUUGGAUAUAUGCCGCUAUUAAACACACAAUAUCGAGCGGAUUCGAUACUCUUCAAGACGAGGAUACCACAUGAUAAGCAAAAAUGUUUCAAGUUUAUAUAAUUGCCAUGAGGCGAACGUAUGCCAUAUUCCCAGAUUUCGACUGAAUUUAUUUUCCUUCGAAUCUGACGGUGGAUCCAGAAUUUAUCACAGAUGGCUGGUGAUAGGGAGAGAAGAGAAGGAUAGAGAGAGAGAGAGAGAGAGAGAGAGAGAGAGAUACAUUGAGUGAGAGAGCGGCGAAAUUAAAUAAGUUCCGGAGUUAACAGGUUUUUCGGGAAGAGAGAUUAAAAAAAAUGUUUAACAAGUAGUUCCUAACUCGUAGAUCUAGAGGCAUAAACAAAUUUCGUGUAUAUAGUUCCGACUUAUUUUGCAAAAAAAUUAUGCAUUUUGUCUGAAAGCCACCAUAUGGAAUUUUGUGUGCACUUGUGUCACAAUACCUGUUUGUAAUACAAUUGCGCAAAAUAAGGAAUCACAUGAAUAAAAAACGCCUAUGUGUUCGUGUAUCAAAUGCUACUUUUUUAACAACUGCCCGAAACAAAUAUUUAGAACUUUCUUGCACUUUUCCAACCAAUUUUGAAUCCCGUAUGGUGGUUUUCAGCCUAUAAUUGUUUUAAAAGAGUUCUUAAGAAUAUUUUUAUUUUUCCUUCAUGCAAAGUUACUUCAUUCUAAAAAGUGCAUGCGCGUCCAUUGCUUCGAUGCAAAUAUCUUAUAUCAUCAUUAGGACAAAAGUUAUAGGGGUUAAAGAACAAUUUGUUAUUAAAAAAUGCAAACUUCAAAAUCGAAAUAGUCUUAGCUUCGAAGACAUUUUUGUUCUCUAAUCGAAAAACUACGCUAUGCUCAAUUUCCUCUGAAAAGAACAUAUUUGAUCUUUAACAGUUUCUACGACUGGAAAUGUAUCUACUUACCCGGAUUUGAAAUGGAUUCGAUUAUUAUAUUAUGCGACGUAAUUCAAGUGUACAUAAUUUUGUUUCUUAUUGUACAUAAGCUAUUCAUUUACACCAAACUCUCGCUUUUGGUCACCCCGUUCUCGGCCUUCCUAUUACUGCUGGCUCCCGCAGUUUCUCAGGUGAACAGGGCGAAAGCGGUUGCGACUUUAUAUAUAUUUCAAUUGAAAACGAGUUAGGUGGUCCUCCCUGUUUACGUUUGGAUCCCCGCGAAAUCAGUCCAAGCAAAGAUAGUUUCUAAUAUCUUUGGUCCAAGGCUAUUUGAAGGCAACCCCCGACACUUGACUGAAAGCGAUAGUUUGGUGUACUUGGAAAAUUUAUAAACUGCGUUUUUUGCAGCAUAUAUAUAUAUAUAUAUAACUUUUAGAAAUCUGAUCAAAUUUCCUAUACUUUUACGUAACCAUAUUUUAAAUUUACGAGACUUGUAAUUGAAUUUCCUGACAUUUUUCAUGAAAUUACGAAAUUUGUAACGGAAUUUUCGUAUUGUACAUUUAAGAAACUUGUAACAGAAUUUUCCGAAAUUUAACGUAAUUUUACGAAACAUUUUUGUAACAGCAUGCAUUUCGGAACGUGUUUCGUAAAAUUAAGACAGAAAUUUCUAACAGUGUAUAUUAGUAGUAUAUAGGACAACAAACUCUUUUAGGAAACUUGUUUAAAUUAAGAAAUUAAUACUGUGCCAAUACAUUUAUUCCAUUUUAUAUUUUUAAGUUUAAAUAUUUGCAAAGAUUAACUCAAGCUAUUACAAAGUAUUGCCAUAUAUAUUUGAUUUAUGUUUGUAUGCUUGGAUUAUUCUUGUAGGUAUAAUUCUUUUUUUAAUACUGUAAACUGCGCUAAAUGCACAAAAUGUGAAUCUUUUUAAAGUAAUUUUUGCAAAGCUUACAUAUUCAAAAAUGGAAUAAUGCUUAAAUGAUUUGCUUGAAGAGUUGAACACGAUAAGCAGUAUAUUUGUAAAGAGUUGUUAAAAAAGUAUGUAUUUUAAAAACAGAUAAAUUCUCGACGAUUUUCCUAGAUUUCAUAAAAAUAGGUGUAUAUAAGUUAUUCUUCUGACUUUGUUUUUUUCCCAAUAUAUGAUCGUUUAGGGACUAAUAAAAAUAUAGUUGUUAAUUUUAAUUAAAUGAAAAUAGGAAUCUACUUUUUUAAUGACUCUACAAUGAAGUUUGAAUACUAAUUGAAGUGACUAAAAGAAUCCAUAUGACAGUUAGAAAAAUAGUCAUAUAUCAAGAUAAAUAGGACAAUGCUGUUCUAAAAUUAUCUGUAAUAAGACUUUUUAAGAUGUAAAUAUGCGAGUGUAUCAAAUUGGAAAAUACUGUGACUUUAGU
This is an RNA transcript of Belonocnema kinseyi, 5485 nucleotides long. It is a transcript of the gene named exostosin-3, with no coding region annotated. Lineage: Eukaryota; Metazoa; Arthropoda; Insecta; Hymenoptera; Cynipidae. The transcript has 11 exons. The record is from RefSeq and is a predicted model, not a curated record.